CAGGCAGAGCUAUCUGGAAUAUGGAGUCAGAUCUGACUAGAGCUGAAGGAUGAGCGAACCAUGACUUAGAGAGGAGUGAUCUGUCUACUCUGCAUAGAGGUGAGGCAACAUGAAAACAACUAAGUCCAAAUGAGAUGUAUACAAGAUAAAUCUGAGGUCAUCAAUGAAGGGAACCAGCAUUAAGGGGAAUCAGGAAAGACUUCUCGUAGAAGAUUGGAUUUGAGCAGGAGCUUGAAGAAAGCCAAGGAAGCUAUCUAUUAAUUGGCUCUGGUUUUCCUUCAUAGUCACAAUCACAUGGUACAUCUUAUGGCUCUUUCCACAUUUUUUAAGGCUUUCUCACAUAUAUCAUCUAUCAUGCCAGUGUUUCCACUUGGCCACCCUGAGAGUCCAAUGAAGAUGAAUGGUAGUUAGAUUUUUUUUCUCUUUUCUUUCAGAAUUUUCAAUAGAUACUAACUAGGCUUGUUUUCCAUUCAUGUUCAUUGUUUGGCAAAUGCCUAUUUAGAGUACCUGGCAGGACAAUUAAUGUCCUCCUUUUGAUGAACUUGAUAGAAUAUCCCACACUAAGAAUUAUUCAACAAAUAUUAACAGGAGAUGAAUUGAUUUUAAGUGGCUACCUAAAAAGGUUGUGUGUGUGUGUGUGUGAACUAUGUCCUCUAUGUAACUGGCUACGUUGGUUGUUCUAUCUAAUAUAUUUUUUCAACUGAAGUCAGACCAAAUCUUUGCUAGUGAGCUGUGAAUUUUACCUUGACUUUAAAUCAAGGGCAAAGUGACAAGGAAAACAUGUCUCAAGAAAUUUAAUUGUAUUUUCCUUUUUUGGAUGUUUUUACAAAAUGUCUCUCUCCCAACCUUUGCCACCACCAAUUUCUCUCAUCAAUGAACAGAGGACCAAUAAUCAAUGUGAGUUCAGUAAUGGGUUGUGAAUUGUAUGUCUUUCAAGUUUACUCUGCUAUUGCCUUUCGCUCAAUAUUUUAUCAUUAACCAUUUAUUACAAGUUUAUCAUUAUGAACCAUA
Non-coding RNA from Monodelphis domestica (gray short-tailed opossum), 1011 nucleotides. The record is from RefSeq and is a predicted model, not a curated record. Lineage: Eukaryota; Metazoa; Chordata; Mammalia; Didelphimorphia; Didelphidae.